Molecule: ribosomal RNA, 403 nt
Filed under: uncultured bacterium
Lineage: Bacteria
Description: bacterial SSU rRNA
Rfam family: Bacterial small subunit ribosomal RNA
Source: RNAcentral
AGUGAACGCUGGCGGCAGGCCUAACACAUGCAAGUCGAACGGCAGCACAGCAGUAGCAAUACUGUGGGUGGCGAGUGGCGGACGGGUGAGGAAUACAUCGGAAUCUGCCUAGUCGUGGGGGAUAACGUAGGGAAACUUACGCUAAUACCGCAUACGACCUACGGGUGAAAGCGGGGGAUCGCAAGACCUCGCGCGAUUAGAUGAGCCGAUGUCCGAUUAGCUAGUUGGCGGGGUAAUGGCCCACCAAGGCGACGAUCGGUAGCUGGUCUGAGAGGAUGAUCAGCCACACUGGAACUGAGACACGGUCCAGACUCCUACGGGAGGCAGCAGUGGGGAAUAUUGGACAAUGGGCGCAAGCCUGAUCCAGCCAUGCCGCGUGAGUGAAGAAGGCCUCGGUUGUAAG